This 914-nucleotide ribosomal RNA is filed under the name uncultured Bacteroidota bacterium. RNAcentral's name for it is "bacterial SSU rRNA". It matches the Rfam family "Bacterial small subunit ribosomal RNA", at positions 10 to 916 of the family's 1533-position model. Lineage: Bacteria; Pseudomonadati; Bacteroidota. The record is from RNAcentral.
ACUUUGAUUCUGGCUCAGGAUGAACGCUAGCUACAGGCUUAACACAUGCAAGUCGAGGGGCAGCGGGAUUGAAGCUUGCUUCAAUUGCCGGCGACCGGCGCACGGGUGAGUAACGCGUAUCCAACCUUCCGUACACUCAGGGAUAGCCUUUCGAAAGAAAGAUUAAUACCUGAUAGUAUCUUAAGCACACAUGUAAUUAAGAUUAAAGAUUUAUCGGUGUACGAUGGGGAUGCGUUCCAUUAGGUAGUAGGCGGGGUAACGGCCCACCUAGCCAACGAUGGAUAGGGGUUCUGAGAGGAAGGUCCCCCACAUUGGAACUGAGACACGGUCCAAACUCCUACGGGAGGCAGCAGUGAGGAAUAUUGGUCAAUGGACGAGAGUCUGAACCAGCCAAGUAGCGUGAAGGAUGAAGGUCCUACGGAUUGUAAACUUCUUUUAUAAGGGAAUAAACCCUCCCACGUGUGGGAGCUUGUAUGUACCUUAUGAAUAAGCAUCGGCUAACUCCGUGCCAGCAGCCGCGGUAAUACGGAGGAUGCGAGCGUUAUCCGGAUUUAUUGGGUUUAAAGGGAGCGCAGACGGGUCGUUAAGUCAGCUGUGAAAGUUUGGGGCUCAACCUUAAAAUUGCAGUUGAUACUGGCGUCCUUGAGUGCGGUUGAGGUGUGCGGAAUUCGUGGUGUAGCGGUGAAAUGCUUAGAUAUCACGAAGAACUCCGAUUGCGAAGGCAGCACACUAAUCCGUAACUGACGUUCAUGCUCGAAAGUGUGGGUAUCAAACAGGAUUAGAUACCCUGGUAGUCCACACGGUAAACGAUGGAUACUCGCUGUUGGCGAUAUACUGUCAGCGGCUUAGCGAAAGCGUUAAGUAUCCCACCUGGGGAGUACGCCGGCAACGGUGCAACUCAAAGGAAUUGACGG